CCAACUUUAUGGGCCGUGUUUUAACUGUGCUUUCUGCUAAUUAUCAUGCACACCGUUGCUUCUCAGUUUUCAUCCGAUUCAGUUAUCUUCCAUAGAGAUCAAAACAAACUCAAGGCGAGCACCAUAACAACAUCGUAUUACAGUCUUAGCUAGGCUUACGGUUACAGGGGAAAAGCACACAUUGUGUGGCUCUUUAAAACAAAAAAGGAAGUUGUCUAACACUAGUUUAUCCUAAUGAGUCCAAGAGACAGCAACCGGAUAAAGAAAGCUGAAAAAAGGACGACAGAAGUGCUGAACACCAAAUGCAACAAACAUACAUUAUCUCCUACUAUUAGGCACCGAUAUAUUAGCAGCAUCACGUCUAAAAAUCUAAGUACAUGUCACAGACAAUAUAUCAAGCUCAAGAGGGAUAGACGGGAUGAAUAGAGAAGAGAGGGUUGGUGCGUCGAAGAAGAGCGUGCGGCGAGAAAAAGUCUUGCAAGGUCAAGAACAGCCGGAGAGGAGACGCUUGUAGCUUCAGAAAGAUUGAUAGAGGUGGACGGCCAGAAAGAUGGCGAUGAAAGGAUGAUGACGGUGUAGACGAGCUCAGGGAGGAUAGAGCCGGGCCGUGGAUCAGCGGGACGAAGCGCCCUGGGAGGCUCCGUCCUCAAGACGACGCAGUGGAGGACGACGCCUGGCCAUGGAGGAAAUCCUCGGCAGACGGCCACCCGAGAAGCCCUGGUUGGCGACUGCGUGCCGAGAGCAGGUGUUGGUGUGGCCUGGGCUCGGCAUCUCGAGGCUAGAGGAGCGGAGAGGUGGGGAGGUAUGCAUGGACAUUAUGGUAGGUGGGUGGUCGGAGGAGGAAUGGCUCGUCAGGGGAACCCCUUAUAUAGCACAAGGGCAUAGCACUGUGAAGAGCUAGAACCAAGGGCAGAGAGAGAAAGGCUCUGAGGAUGAAACAUGGCCUUUACGUUAUGGACGGUGCAGCGGAGGGGUUGGGUUGGGUUGGGUUUGGUUAAUUUGAUGCCCCAUGCGGCAUCAGCACACAGCAGCGAUGGAGAGGUAGAGGGGGAUACAGCACAUACACGGGUCGCUGAGAUGGCUCUCUCUCGUCUCGUGUACUGCAUGCAUGUGCGUGGCAG
Molecule: long non-coding RNA, 1121 nt
Filed under: Hordeum vulgare
Lineage: Eukaryota; Viridiplantae; Streptophyta; Magnoliopsida; Poales; Poaceae
Description: long non-coding RNA (HVUL_LNC016120)
Source: RNAcentral